UACGAAGGGGGCUAGCGUUGUUCGGAAUUACUGGGCGUAAAGCGCACGCAGGCGGAUUGAUAAGUCAGGGGUGAAAUCCCGGGGCUUAACCUCGGAAUUGCCUUUGAUACUGUCUGUCUUGAGUCCGGGAGAGGUGAGUGGAAUUCCUAGUGUAGAGGUGAAAUUCGUAGAUAUUAGGAAGAACACCAGUGGCGAAGGCGGCUCACUGGCCCGGAACUGACGCUCAUGUGCGAAAGCUAGGGGAGCAAAUGGG
Molecule: ribosomal RNA, 253 nt
Filed under: uncultured bacterium
Lineage: Bacteria
Description: partial 16S ribosomal RNA
Rfam family: Bacterial small subunit ribosomal RNA
Source: RNAcentral